This 497-nucleotide ribosomal RNA is filed under the name uncultured bacterium. RNAcentral's name for it is "partial 16S ribosomal RNA". It matches the Rfam family "Bacterial small subunit ribosomal RNA", at positions 28 to 507 of the family's 1533-position model. The record is from RNAcentral.
GAUGAACGCUGGCGGCGUGCCUAAUACAUGCAAGUCGAGCGAACAGACGAGGAGCUUGCUCCUCUGACGUUAGCGGCGGACGGGUGAGUAACACGUGGAUAACCUACCUAUAAGACUGGGAUAACUUCGGGAAACCGGAGCUAAUACCGGAUAAUAUAUUGAACCGCAUGGUUCAAUAGUGAAAGACGGUUUUGCUGUCACUUAUAGAUGGAUCCGCGCCGCAUUAGCUAGUUGGUCAGGUAACGGCUUACCAAGGCAACGAUGCGUAGCCGACCUGAGAGGGUGAUCGGCCACACUGGAACUGAGACACGGUCCAGACUCCUACGGGAGGCAGCAGUAGGGAAUCUUCCGCAAUGGGCGAAAGCCUGACGGAGCAACGCCGCGUGAGUGAUGAAGGUCUUCGGAUCGUAAAACUCUGUUAUUAGGGAAGAACAAAUGUGUAAGUAACUAUGCACGUCUUGACGGUACCUAAUCAGAAAGCCACGGCUAACUACGUG